ACGCCCGAAGUCAUUACCCUAACCGAAAGGAGGGGGAUGCCGAAGGCAGGGUUAGUGACUGGGGUGAAGUCGUAACAAGGUAGCCGUACCGGAAGGUGUGGCUGGAUCACCUCCUUUAAAGGAGACCUGCUGAUGUCGAUUAGGAAAAAGACGUCAGGCAAUCCUAGGUCGAGUGUGGGGGUAAGAGAAAACUUUCAAACUUACAUGGUUCGCCUAAGGUUAUUAAUAAAAAUGGCUAAAACAGCGAUCUAACAAAGUAAAGAUGGAAUAAGCCCAAAAUAAAAAGAGUGGGUAGUCAUCUAGAAAAUAUGUAUAGAUUAAAUGUAGCCAGAAAAAGCACCUUGAAAACUGCAUAGAAACAUAGGAAGAAGAGAAAAGUUAAGGUCAAGUUAGAAAGAGCUAACGGUGGAUACCUAGGCACACAGAGG
Molecule: unclassified non-coding RNA, 428 nt
Filed under: uncultured Cyanobacterium sp.
Lineage: Bacteria; Bacillati; Cyanobacteriota; Cyanophyceae; Chroococcales; Geminocystaceae
Description: partial contains 16S ribosomal RNA, 16S-23S ribosomal RNA intergenic spacer, and 23S ribosomal RNA
Rfam family: Bacterial small subunit ribosomal RNA (bases 1-117)
Source: RNAcentral